Molecule: non-coding RNA, 78 nt
Organism: Brassica napus (rape)
Lineage: Eukaryota; Viridiplantae; Streptophyta; Magnoliopsida; Brassicales; Brassicaceae
Source: Rfam
UACCAAUGAUGGAAUUCAAAUAAAUCAUCAGAUCUGAUGUGUAACAACAUAUGUGAUUACAAUCUUGAUGCUGAGGUA